Molecule: long non-coding RNA, 992 nt
Organism: Marmota monax (woodchuck)
Lineage: Eukaryota; Metazoa; Chordata; Mammalia; Rodentia; Sciuridae
Exons: 2
Source: RefSeq, a predicted model, not a curated record
CCACCACCCAUGAGUUGAGGAGAGCUUGGCACACAUCUCACAGGGCUGGCAGCUAAAUCACCCUUCAGUGGCACAUAGUUCUCUUGGUCAGAACUUUGGGAGCCGGGCUGAGUUCUGUGUCUGGCAUACGAGAGGCCAAAGUCCAGGGGCCAGCCCGCUGGAUGUGCCCGGAGUCUCCUGGGGAGAACCCGCCUGGCUUCCGGAGUCGGCGGGAUCCCGUUCUGGGUGCUGUUCUGCUUCCUUGCUGAGUGUCCUUUGGGGACAGUUUAGGCUUCUGCAGAUGCUAUCAGCAAGGACUGUGGCGUCUUCCUCACAGGAGUCCUCUGUGCCCCGUCCUGGUCCACCAUGGGCAGGAAAUGCCCUGUGUGCAGGGUCCAGCGGCUGGGCCAGGUGAUAGGUGCCAGCUGACUUAGGACUAGCCUACAUCUGCCAACGGCCUUCACAGCUGUCCUUGGACCUGUCUGACCGUCCAGCCAGAGGGCAGAGGUUCUGAAGGACGGGCACUCCCAGCACAGGCCUUCCCAAGACAGAGAGGGAGGCGGACCUGGGGCUGUUCCACUCUGUCCGUGUUUCUAGUGGGCUGGUCUUCCAAGUCUAAAGAAAUCAAUGCAAAAAAUAGGAGGGGAAAUGUCUCAGCUCGCCUUUGGAGCUAAUUCGGAUCUUGACACAGAAUGGACAAGAACCAGAGGUGGUGGCUGCAGCCACCUCUGCGCACACCUGAAGGAGGACAUGCCGACGUGCUUCAGCAAUGCUCCUGGAAACCCCAGGGACGGGCACACGCCUUCUUCCAGAGACCCCGCGCCUCACCACUCCCUACAGGGCAACAAAACAAACAGAAUUAGGACUUUGAAUGGAAGGAUCGACCUUCAGAAAAGUGAAAUGGAAAAUGGACGUUCAAACACACCAUUUCCUCUGGGUCUAGCCCCUGGAUCAAGAUUCCAGCUCCCCAAGACUAAGUCUCAACAUAUGAUAAAAUUAACACUUAUGUGGCA